Molecule: ribosomal RNA, 433 nt
Filed under: uncultured bacterium
Lineage: Bacteria
Description: partial 16S ribosomal RNA
Rfam family: Bacterial small subunit ribosomal RNA
Source: RNAcentral
AGCGAACGCUGGCGGCAGGCCUAACACAUGCAAGUCGAACGGAUCCUUCGGGAUUAGUGGCGGACGGGUGAGUAACACGUGGGAACGUGCCCUUUGGUUCGGAACAACUCAGGGAAACUUGAGCUAAUACCGGAUGUGCCCUUCGGGGGAAAGAUUUAUCGCCAUUGGAGCGGCCCGCGUCUGAUUAGCUAGUUGGUGAGGUAACGGCCCACCAAGGCGACGAUCAGUAGCUGGUCUGAGAGGAUGAUCAGCCACACUGGGACUGAGACACGGCCCUGACUCCUACGGGAGGCAGCAGUGGGGAAUCUUGCGCAAUGGGCGAAAGCCUGACGCAGCCAUGCCGCGUGAAUGAUGAAGGUCUUAGGAUUGUAAAAUUCUUUCAGCGGGGACGAUAAUGACGGUACCCGCAGAAGAAGCUCCGGCUAACUUCGUG